This 510-nucleotide ribosomal RNA is filed under the name uncultured bacterium. RNAcentral's name for it is "bacterial SSU rRNA". It matches the Rfam family "Bacterial small subunit ribosomal RNA", at positions 13 to 507 of the family's 1533-position model. The record is from RNAcentral.
UUGAUCAUGGCUCAGGACGAACGCUGGCGGCGUGCCUAAUACAUGCAAGUCGAGCGGACCAAAGGGAGCUUGCUCCUGGAGGUUAGCGGCGAACGGGUGAGUAACACGUGGGCAACCUGCCUGUAAGACUGGGAUAACAUCGAGAAAUCGGUGCUAAUACCGGAUAAUAAAAAGAACUGCAUGGUUCUUUUUGAAAGAUGGUUUCGGCUAUCACUUACAGAUGGGCCCGCGGCGCAUUAGCUAGUUGGUGAGGUAACGGCUCACCAAGGCAACGAUGCGUAGCCGACCUGAGAGGGUGAUCGGCCACACUGGGACUGAGACACGGCCCAGACUCCUACGGGAGGCAGCAGUAGGGAAUCUUCCGCAAUGGACGAAAGUCUGACGGAGCAACGCCGCGUGAGUGAUGAAGGUUUUCGGAUCGUAAAACUCUGUUGUUAGGGAAGAACAAGUGCCGUUCGAAAGGGCGGCACCUUGACGGUACCUAACGAGAAAGCCAUGGCUAACUACGUG